Molecule: ribosomal RNA, 255 nt
Filed under: uncultured bacterium
Lineage: Bacteria
Description: partial 16S ribosomal RNA
Rfam family: Bacterial small subunit ribosomal RNA
Source: RNAcentral
UACGUAGGGGGCUAGCGUUGUCCGGAAUCAUUGGGCGUAAAAGCGCGCGUAGGCGGCCAGAUAAGUCCGGUGUGAAAGUCACAGGCUCAACCUUUGAAUGUCAGUGGAUACUGCCGGGCUAGAGUCCGGAAGAGGCGAGUGGAACUCCCUGGUGUAGCGGUGGAAUGCGCAGAUAUCAGGAAGAACACCGACGGCGAAGGCAGCUCGCUGGGACGGUACUGACGCUGAGGCGCGAAAGCGUGGGGAGCGAACAGG